RNAcentral lists this ribosomal RNA (497 nucleotides) under uncultured bacterium. RNAcentral describes it as "partial 16S ribosomal RNA". It matches the Rfam family "Bacterial small subunit ribosomal RNA", at positions 28 to 507 of the family's 1533-position model. The record is from RNAcentral.
GAUGAACGCUGGCGGCGUGCCUAAUACAUGCAAGUCGAGCGAACAGACGAGGAGCUUGCUCCUCUGACGUUAGCGGCGGACGGGUGAGUAACACGUGGAUAACCUACCUAUAAGACUGGGAUAACUUCGGGAAACCGGAGCUAAUACCGGAUAAUAUAUUGAACCGCAUGGUUCAAUAGUGAAAGACGGUUUUGCUGUCACUUAUAGAUGGAUCCGCGCCGCAUUAGCUAGUUGGUAAGGUAACGGCUUACCAAGGCAACGAUGCGUAGCCGACCUGAGAGAGGGAUCGGCCACACUGGAACUGAGACACGGUCCAGACUCCUACGGGAGGCAGCAGUAGGGAAUCUUCCGCAAUGGGAGAAAGCCUGACGGAGCAACGCCGCGUGGGUGAUGAAGGUCUUCGGAUCGGAAAACUCUGUUAUUAGGGAAGAACAAAUGUGUAAGUAACUAUGCACGUCUUGACGGUACCUAAUCAGAAAGCCACGGCUAACUACGUG